RNAcentral lists this ribosomal RNA (1401 nucleotides) under uncultured prokaryote. RNAcentral describes it as "partial 16S ribosomal RNA". It matches the Rfam family "Bacterial small subunit ribosomal RNA". The record is from RNAcentral.
AGCGGCAGGCUUAACACAUGCAAGUCGAGGGGUAACGAUGUAGCUUGCUACAGGCGACGACCGGCGCACGGGUGAGUAACGCGUAUGCAAUCUGCCCAUAGCUGGAGAAUAGCCCGAAGAAAUUCGGAUUAAUGCUCCAUAAUAUUCCGAAGAGGCAUGAUCUUUAAAAUAAAGAUUUAUCGGAAGAAGAUGGGCAUGCGUGCCAUUAGCUUGUUGGUAGGGUAAGGGCCUACCUAGGCAACGAUGGCUAGGGGUUCUUAAAGGAUUAUCCCCCACACUGGUACUGAGACACGGACCAGACUCCUACGGGAGGCAGCAGUGAGGAAUAUUGGUCAAUGGUCGAGAGACUGAACCAGCCAUGCCGCGUGUAGGAUGACUGCCCUAAGGGUUGUAAACGACUUUUGUAUAGGAAGAACAGCAGAUACGUGUAUUUGUGUGACGGUACUAUACGAAUAAGCAUCGGCUAACUCCGUGCCAGCAGCCGCGGUAAUACGGAGGAUGCAGGCGUUAUCCGGAUUUAUUAGGUUUAAAGGGUGCGUAGGCGGGAUUAUAAGUCAGUGGUGAAAUCUUACGGCUCAACCGUAAAACUGCCAUUGAUACUGUAGUUCUUGAGUUUAGUCGAGGUAGGCGGAAUGUGUAAUGUAGCGGUGAAAUGCAUAGAUAUUACACAGAACACCGAUUGCGAAGGCAGCUUACUAGACUAUAACUGACGCUGAUGCACGAAAGCGUGGGUAGCGAACAGGAUUAGAUACCCUGGUAGUCCACGCCGUAAACGAUGAUCACUCGUUGUGUGCGAUAUAUUGUACGUGACUGAGCGAAAGCAUUAAGUGAUCCACCUGGGGAGAACGUUUGCAAGAAUGAAACUCAAAGGAAUUGACGGGGGCCCGCACAAGCGGAGGAACAUGUGGUUUAAUUCGAUGAUACGCGAGGAACCUUAACUGGACUUAAAUGUAGCAUGACCGUACCAGAAAUGGUAUUUCUCUUCGGAGCAGGACAAGGUGCUGCAUGGCUGUCGUCAGCUCGUGCCGUGAGGUGUCGGGUUAAGUCCCAUAACGAGCGCAACCCCUAUUGUUAGUUGCCAGCGGGUAAUGCCGGGAACUCUAGCGAGACUGCCACCGUAAGGUGAGAGGAAGGUGGGGAUGACGUCAAAUCAGCACGGCCCUUAUGUCCAGGGCUACACACGUGUUACAAUGGCAGGUACAAAGGGCAGCUACAUAGCAAUAUGAUGCUAAUCUCCAAAGCCUGUCUUAGUUCGGAUCGAAGUCUGCAACUCGACUUCGUGAAGUUGGAUUCGCUAGUAAUCGUAUAUCAGCAAUGAUACGGUGAAUACGUUCCCGGGCCUUGUACACACCGCCCGUCAAGCCAUGGAAGCUGGGGGUACCUGAAGUCCGUAACCGCAAG